GUGUGACUGCGUACCUUUUGUAUAAUGGGUCAGCGACUUAUAUUCUGUAGCAAGGUUAACCGAAUAGGGGAGCCGAAGGGAAACCGAGUCUUAACUGGGCGUUAAGUUGCAGGGUAUAGACCCGAAACCCGGUGAUCUAGCCAUGGGCAGGUUGAAGGUUGGGUAACACUAACUGGAGGACCGAACCGACUAAUGUUGAAAAAUUAGCGGAUGACUUGUGGCUGGGGGUGAAAGGCCAAUCAAACCGGGAGAUAGCUGGUUCUCCCCGAAAGCUAUUUAGGUAGCGCCUCGUGAAUUCAUCUCCGGGGGUAGAGCACUGUUUCGGCAAGGGGGUCAUCCCGACUUACCAACCCGAUGCAAACUGCGAAUACCGGAGAAUGUUAUCACGGGAGACACACGGCGGGUGCUAACGUCCGUCGUGAAGAGGGAAACAACCCAGACCGCCAGCUAAGGUCCCAAAGUCAUGGUUAAGUGGGAAACGAUGUGGGAAGGCCCAGACAGCCAGGAUGUUGGCUUAGAAGCAGCCAUCAUUUAAAGAAAGCGUAAUAGCUCACUGGUCGAGUCGGCCUGCGCGGAAGAUGUAACGGGGCUAAACCAUGCACCGAAGCUGCGGCAGCGACACUGUGUGUUGUUGGGUAGGGGAGCGUUCUGUAAGCCUGUGAAGGUGUGCUGUGAGGCAUGCUGGAGGUAUCAGAAGUGCGAAUGCUGACAUAAGUAACGAUAAAGCGGGUGAAAAGCCCGCUCGCCGGAAGACCAAGGGUUCCUGUCCAACGUUAAUCGGGGCAGGGUGAGUCGACCCCUAAGGCGAGGCCGAAAGGCGUAGUCGAUGGGAAACAGGUUAAUAUUCCUGUACUUGGUGUUACUGCGAAGGGGGGACGGAGAAGGCUAUGUUGGCCGGGCGACGGUUGUCCCGGUUUAAGCGUGUAGGCUGGUUUUCCAGGCAAAUCCGGAAAAUCAAGGCUGAGGCGUGAUGACGAGGCACUACGGUGCUGAAGCAACAAAUGCCCUGCUUCCAGGAAAAGCCUCUAAGCAUCAGGUAACAUCAAAUCGUACCCCAAACCGACACAGGUGGUCAGGUAGAGAAUACCAAGGCGCUUGAGAGAACUCGGGUGAAGGAACUAGGCAAAAUGGUGCCGUAACUUCGGGAGAAGGCACGCUGAUAUGUAGGUGAAGUCCCUCGCGGAUGGAGCUGAAAUCAGUCGAAGAUACCAGCUGGCUGCAACUGUUUAUUAAAAACACAGCACUGUGCAAACACGAAAGUGGACGUAUACGGUGUGACGCCUGCCCGGUGCCGGAAGGUUAAUUGAUGGGGUCAGCGCAAGCGAAGCUCUUGAUCGAAGCCCCGGUAAACGGCGGCCGUAACUAUAACGGUCCUAAGGUAGCGAAAUUCCUUGUCGGGUAAGUUCCGACCUGCACGAAUGGCGUAAUGAUGGCCAGGCUGUCUCCACCCGAGACUCAGUGAAAUUGAACUCGCUGUGAAGAUGCAGUGUACCCGCGGCAAGACGGAAAGACCCCGUGAACCUUUACUAUAGCUUGACACUGAACAUUGAGCCUUGAUGUGUAGGAUAGGUGGGAGGCUUUGAAGUGUGGACGCCAGUCUGCAUGGAGCCGACCUUGAAAUACCACCCUUUAAUGUUUGAUGUUCUAACGUGGACCCGUGAUCCGGGUUGCGGACAGUGUCUGGUGGGUAGUUUGACUGGGGCGGUCUCCUCCUAAAGAGUAACGGAGGAGCACGAAGGUUGGCUAAUCCUGGUCGGACAUCAGGAGGUUAGUGCAAUGGCAUAAGCCAGCUUGACUGCGAGCGUGACGGCGCGAGCAGGUGCGAAAGCAGGUCAUAGUGAUCCGGUGGUUCUGAAUGGAAGGGCCAUCGCUCAACGGAUAAAAGGUACUCCGGGGAUAACAGGCUGAUACCGCCCAAGAGUUCAUAUCGACGGCGGUGUUUGGCACCUCGAUGUCGGCUCAUCACAUCCUGGGGCUGAAGUAGGUCCCAAGGGUAUGGCUGUUCGCCAUUUAAAGUGGUACGCGAGCUGGGUUUAGAACGUCGUGAGACAGUUCGGUCCCUAUCUGCCGUGGGCGCUGGAGAACUGAGGGGGGCUGCUCCUAGUACGAGAGGACCGGAGUGGACGCAUCACUGGUGUUCGGGUUGUCAUGCCAAUGGCACUGCCCGGUAGCUAAAUGCGGAAGAGAUAAGUGCUGAAAGCAUCUAAGCACGAAACUUGCCCCGAGAUGAGUUCUCCCUGACCCUUUAAGGGUCCUGAAGGAACGUUGAAGACGACGACGUUGAUAGGCCGGGUGUGUAAGCGCAGCGAUGCGUUGAGCUAACCGGUACUAAUGAACCGUGAGGCUUAACCUU
RNAcentral lists this ribosomal RNA (2353 nucleotides) under Escherichia coli WC2. Its description in RNAcentral is "bacterial LSU rRNA". It matches the Rfam family "Bacterial large subunit ribosomal RNA", at positions 591 to 2925 of the family's 2925-position model. The record is from RNAcentral. Lineage: Bacteria; Pseudomonadati; Pseudomonadota; Gammaproteobacteria; Enterobacterales; Enterobacteriaceae.